UAAGGAAUAUUGGACAAUGGGCGCAAGUCUGAUCCAGCCAUCCCGCGUGCAGGAUGAAGGCGCUCCGCGUCGUAAACUGCUUUUGCGUAGGAAGAACAGACGGGACUUGUCCUGUUUUGACGGUACUACGAGAAUAAGCACCGGCUAACUCUGUGCCAGCAGCCGCGGUAAUACAGGGGGUGCGAGCGUUAUCCGGAAUUACUGGGUUUAAAGGGUGCGUAGGCUGCCGUGUAAGUUUGGGGUGAAAGGCCAGGGCUUAACCUUGGGACUGCCUUGGAUACUGCACGGCUUGAAUUAGGAUGAGGUUGGCGGAAUGCGGCAUGUAGCGGUGAAAUGCAUAGAUAUGCCGUAGAACACCGAUUGUGAAGACAGCUGACUGGACCUAUAUUGACGCUGAGGCACGAAAGCGUGGGGAGCGAACGGGAUUAGAUACCCCGGUAGUCCACGCCGUAAACGAUGUUAACUCGGUGUUUGGCGCGUAGCGUUGAGCACCCAAGGGAAACCGAUAAGUUAACCACCUGGGGAGUACGUUCGCAAGAAUG
This 542-nucleotide ribosomal RNA is filed under the name uncultured Bacteroidota bacterium. RNAcentral describes it as "bacterial SSU rRNA". It matches the Rfam family "Bacterial small subunit ribosomal RNA", at positions 355 to 896 of the family's 1533-position model. Lineage: Bacteria; Pseudomonadati; Bacteroidota. The record is from RNAcentral.